UACGGAGAGUGCAAGCGUUACUCGGAAUCACUGGGCAUAAAGAGCACGUAGGUGGAAGAUCGUGUCGGUCGUGAAAUCCCUCGGCUCAACCGGGGAACUGCGUCCGAAACUGUUCUUCUCGAGGACGAGAGGGGAGAGCGGAACUUCUGGUGGAGCGGUGAAAUGCGUAGAUAUCAGAAGGAACACCGGUGGCGAAAGCGGCUCUCUGGCUCGUUUCUGACACUGAGGUGCGAAAGCGUGGGUAGCAAACAGG
RNAcentral lists this ribosomal RNA (253 nucleotides) under uncultured bacterium. RNAcentral describes it as "partial 16S ribosomal RNA". It matches the Rfam family "Bacterial small subunit ribosomal RNA", at positions 524 to 776 of the family's 1533-position model. The record is from RNAcentral.